This 745-nucleotide long non-coding RNA is filed under the name Capsicum annuum. RNAcentral's name for it is "long non-coding RNA (CANN_LNC014560)". The record is from RNAcentral. Lineage: Eukaryota; Viridiplantae; Streptophyta; Magnoliopsida; Solanales; Solanaceae.
ACUCUACCAAAUUGUUCAUGUAUUGAGAAGACAGAUUGAAUAACAAUUUUCUGAUCAUUUCAUCUCCUCUCCAUCUCUUCAUGUAUUGAGAAAACAGAUUGAAUACCAAUUUUCUGAUCAUUUCAUCUCCUCUCCAUCUCUCUUCUUCCCUCCUUCAUCCUUCUUCAAUCAAGAAAUCUCUGCUUCUCAUAUGGAUUCUGUAUCAACUUCUGGGUGAUAAAAAUAUUGGUUGUGAGAAGAGGAUAUUGAUUGAGCAAUCAAUGGUGUAGAACUUUACUUGUAGAACUUUAUUUGAAUCACAUUAUAAAUAAAGCAAUCAUGUCCAAUAUGAGAUAUGUAGUUUUAACUUUUACCUGUGAUAGACCUCCUCAAAACCAGUUACUAGAGAAAACAAGAUUCAUGUCGAGCAAUACUAAUUUAUCAUAGUUAUGUGAAAAAUUAAUGACAAACAUUAAACGAUAAAUCAUACCCGAUCCCUCGCUUUGAGUAUUCAUUGUUCAAUUUAUAUUGUGCCUUUGUACAAGUCAAUAAUAUCAUUUAGGAUAUUUGGGAUGGUUAAUGGCUUAUGUUGGGAUCGGAUGAGCGCAGAUGAGUUUUGGCAUGUUUGGAACAAUUUUGCAGCUGUAAAUUUUCUGCUAACAGCUGGUGCGUCACGAUAAUGAAGAGAGCCGGGAGUUCAGAUUAAGGAGGGUCAGUUGACCUCUGUGAUAACAAGGUUCUGGCCGUGAAAGCGUAAGAGUUGACA